RNAcentral lists this ribosomal RNA (253 nucleotides) under uncultured bacterium. RNAcentral's name for it is "partial 16S ribosomal RNA". It matches the Rfam family "Bacterial small subunit ribosomal RNA", at positions 524 to 776 of the family's 1533-position model. The record is from RNAcentral.
UACGUAGGGGGCAAGCGUUGUCCGGAUUUAUUGGGCGUAAAGAGCGUGUAGGCGGCCAGGGAGGUCCGUUGUGAAAACUCGAGGCUCAACCUCGAGACGUCGGCGGAAACCAUCUGGCUAGAGUCCGGAAGAGGAGAGUGGAAUUCCUGGUGUAGCGGUGAAAUGCGCAGAUAUCAGGAAGAACACCCGUGGCGAAGGCGGCUCUCUGGGACGGUACUGACGCUGAGACGCGAAAGCGUGGGGAGCGAACAGG